GUCCGAUUAGCUAGUUGGUGGGGUAAAGGCCUACCAAGGCGACGAUCGGUAGCUGGUCUGAGAGGACGACCAGCCACACUGGGACUGAGACACGGACCAGACUCCUACGGGAGGCAGCAGUGGGGAAUAUUGGACAAUGGGGGCAACCCUGAUCCAGCAAUGCCGCGUGUGUGAAGAAGGCCUUCGGGUUGUAAACGCACUUUCGGUGGGGACAAACAAGACGGAGCUAAUAUCUCCGUGGAUGACGGUACCGUAAGAAGAAGCACCGGCUAACUACGUGCCAGCAGCCGCGGUAAUACGUAGGGUGCGAGCGUUAAUCGGAAUUACUGGGCGUAAAGUGUGCGCAGGCGGCCCGCAAGUCGAGUGUGAAAACCCCGGGCUUAACUUGGGAAUUGCGCUCGAAACUACGUGGCUGGAGUGUGGCAGAGGAAGGUGGAAUUCCACGUGUAGCGGUGAAAUGCGUAGAGAUGUGGAGGAACACCAAUGGCGAAGGCAGCCUUCUGG
RNAcentral lists this ribosomal RNA (504 nucleotides) under uncultured beta proteobacterium. Its description in RNAcentral is "bacterial SSU rRNA". It matches the Rfam family "Bacterial small subunit ribosomal RNA", at positions 235 to 732 of the family's 1533-position model. Lineage: Bacteria; Pseudomonadati; Pseudomonadota; Betaproteobacteria. The record is from RNAcentral.